Molecule: ribosomal RNA, 375 nt
Filed under: uncultured bacterium
Lineage: Bacteria
Description: bacterial SSU rRNA
Rfam family: Bacterial small subunit ribosomal RNA
Source: RNAcentral
UACAUAUGGGCCGAGCGUUGUCCGGAUUUAUUGGGCGUAAAGAGCACGUAGGCGGUGAUCUAAGUCAGAAUUUAAAGGCAGAAGCUCAACUUCUGUAUGAUUCUGAAACUGGAUCGCUAGAGAUCUGAAGAGGAAAGUGGAAUUAGCAGUGUAGCGGUGAAAUGCGUAGAUAUUGCUAAGAACACCCGUGGCGAAGGCGGCUUUCUGGUCAGAAUCUGACGCUGAGGUGCGAAAGCGUGGGUAGCAAACAGGAUUAGAUACCCUAGUAGUCCACGCCGUAAACGAUGUACAUUAGGUAUAGGAGGUAUCGACCCCUUCUGUGCCGCAGCUAACGCAUUAAAUGUACCGCCUGGGGAGUACGGUCGCAAGACUAAA